RNAcentral lists this microRNA (21 nucleotides) under Homo sapiens (human). Its description in RNAcentral is "hsa-miR-4470". The record is from miRBase by way of RNAcentral. Lineage: Eukaryota; Metazoa; Chordata; Mammalia; Primates; Hominidae.
UGGCAAACGUGGAAGCCGAGA